Molecule: ribosomal RNA, 489 nt
Filed under: uncultured bacterium
Lineage: Bacteria
Description: partial 16S ribosomal RNA
Rfam family: Bacterial small subunit ribosomal RNA
Source: RNAcentral
ACUCAAAUGAAUUGACGGGGACUCGCACAAGCAGUGGAUUAUGUGGCUUAAUUCGUCGUCAAACGAAGAACCUUACCAAGGUUAGAAAUGCUACUGCAUUCUUUCUGAAAGGAGAGAAGCCUUCGAGGGUGUAGCACAGGUGAUGCAUGGUCGUCGUCAGUUCGUGGUUUGAACUGUUCCCUUCAGUGGGGUAACGAACGCAACCCCCGUUGUCUGUUGCCUAUAUGGCCAGGCGAGACUGCUCCCUCACGGGAGAGGAAGGUGGGGAUGACGCCAGAUCAGCAUGUCCCUCUGAUACCUUGGGCUGCACACAUAAUACAAUGGGCGGUACAACGGGUUGCAAUGCCGUAAGGCGGAGCUAAUCCUUAUAAAACCGCCCUCAGUACGGAUUGAGGUCUGCAACCGACCUCAUGAAGCCGGAAUUGCUAGUAAUCGCAGGUCAGCUAAACUGCGGUGAAUACGUUCUCGAGUCUUGUACACACCGCCCGU